Molecule: long non-coding RNA, 2106 nt
Filed under: Haliotis rubra (blacklip abalone)
Lineage: Eukaryota; Metazoa; Mollusca; Gastropoda; Lepetellida; Haliotidae
Description: uncharacterized LOC124255700
Source: RNAcentral
UGGACCAACCAUUUAGUAUAUCAAGUGUAUUCCAGUAUAUCUGAAGCCAGCCAAACUUCCAGUAUAUCAGUGUAGCACUGAAACAAACCAGUCUUCCAGUAGAUAUAAGUGUAGCACUGAGACAAACCAACCUUUUAGUAUAUCAGUGUAGCAUGUAGACCAACCUGACAGUAUAUCAAUGUACUGUUGAGAUUGACCAAGGAAUGGUUUUAUUGAUUAUAUGUAGCAUCAAGACCUACUAACCCCUACCUUGAUACAGAGGAAAAGAGAUUUAGUGGCAGAUGGGAGAGUGCCUACCCUUCAGUUUCGAAGCAAAUGAAACAUACAUCAAAAACUUUAUAAUGGAUUGGGUAUAUCUAAUGAAUAACUCAUUUGGUGAUAUAUAUACUACUGAAAAGAAUCUAAAGAAGUUCUUUAACUUCUUUUGAGCAAAGUAUUUCAACCAAAUCACAGUAUUAUAACAUGCAAAUCAUAAAAUGCCUCCCUCGUCCAAAAACUGUAACACUACUUACAGUAUAUCAGUACGUAUCACCCCAUCAACUUCUAAACAGUGCUACAUUUUGUCAUUGUAUACUGAUGUUGUAGAUUGUUGCUAACCCAAUGAAACAAAGGUUUAUCUGCUGGCUGUAUACAAAGUUAUACAUGACAUAGGUGUGAUAUAGCUCACUUAUCUCACUCACCCAGUUCAUCAUCAUUAACUCAUGAUUUUGUGUGGGGUAUUUUCCAGUUUGAUGUAUACCCCAGUGUUUCUUGUUAAAAGCUGCGCUCAGCAAUGAUCCAGAUACAUGAUGGCAUCAUGUAAGUAAUCACGUCUAGACCAGAUAAACUGGUUUGUCUUGCACUGAUAAUGGCAAAUGCUUCAACUUAAUGUUUGCACAAAUACAUGACAGUUUCUAAGUCUAAAUGAUUGCCCCUGAUAAGGACAAUGAGGGAGGAAAGGACCAUUUCAACUGGAAUAUUUAUUACAUUGACGUGCCCUUUUGUUGUGUUUAAAUUUUGUUGUUUCAUUAAUGCACUUCAUUAUUAUACUACUCCACUUUUGAAAAUGAUAUUUUAUCUCUUUGUGGUACACGUUUAAUUAUUCUUUUCAAAGGUGAGGUAGUAUAUAUGGCAACAUGAGGCAGCUCUUCUGACUUCACCAUUAAAACUACCUCACAUACUUGUUGUACUGACAGAGGGAGCAGGUGAAAAGUUUGAUACCUAAUUUCUCACCCCACCAAAAAAAAGGAAAAAGAAAGAAAAAUGGAUAAUCAGAGCUUUUUGUUUAUUGACUUGAACUGCAAAACCUCAAAAAAGUUGUUUUUGUUUGAUUGAAACUGUGCAGGUCUCUUUAACCUCCCUGCCUCCUAAACUAAGGUAGAACUAAGCUGAAAUAUUAUGUUUAAAAAUUACGAGGGGUGUGUGUGUUUCCAUUGAUUUUGUACAUGACAUGCAGUGGGGGUCACUUACUUUGCACUAAUUAUUCAGAAUGGAACCAAUCAAACUAUUCGGGUAUAUGCUCUAUAUGAUCUUCUAUGUAUAAGAAUCUCCUUGUAAUGCCAGCGAUACAAGGUGAAACUAUUUGUCAUGAGAUCAGGUCUACCUCCUAUGUAUAUGAAGAAAGCUGAGGUCCUCUGUAUGUAUAACCUUCAAAUAUAUGGUCAUCAAAACCAUGUUUCCUGCUAUCUGAAGACUGGAUAAGUUGGGUGUGUGUAUAUUAAACCUUGCACAGUUUAACAUGGAGGAUAUAAUCUCGUAUUCCAUGUCCGGUGAGUUUCAUUUGAAACAUACAUGUAGAAAUAGAAGUACUUAACAUGUGUGGGUGUUAUAUUUACAUUAUUUUGUUGUUAUGUGUUUCUUGUCCCUACAAUUAUGAUAAAGUUAAAUGUGUUUAUGGUCUCUUGUGUUAUAAUAGUGUGGACACUACUUUAAGAACUUGAAGAUGUAUGCAAGGAAAGUGUGAAUUAGAUCCAAGUGAAAUGUUAUUUAUCUCUGUUAUGGGUUAUAUAUAUUUUCUGUUUCAAUUAUUGUUUACUGAAAACAAGCAUGACAAUUAUGAUAAAACAAUUUGUUUUCUGCAACUUUAGUAGUGUUGAAUGAAUAGAAAUACAACAAAUGUAAACAAAA